AUGAAAUGAAGUUGUUCUAUGAAUUAUGGCCGAAAGUGCAACUUUAUGCCAAAUGCUCUGCGAAAAAGGCUGCUUUUGUACAUUUUCAUACUCGAAAAAGCCCACCCCACCCUCCUGAAAAAUUAUUGCAUACACUACUCGAAAAUGAAUGCAUCCAUCCGUUCCCGUGUUCGGAUGAAAUAUUUCCAAAAUUAUCUGAUGAGAUUUAUUUAAAAAUAUAUUUAAAAUAAAUUUCACAUAAAUGUGAGUAUCAUAUACCCUUUUUUAGCAUCGUUUAUUCUUAUUAAUUGAGAUUGAAUGCGUG
This 304-nucleotide unclassified non-coding RNA is filed under the name Hevea brasiliensis (rubber tree). Lineage: Eukaryota; Viridiplantae; Streptophyta; Magnoliopsida; Malpighiales; Euphorbiaceae. The record is from RNAcentral.